GACGAACGCUGGCGGCGUGCUUAACACAUGCAAGUCGAACGGAAAGGCCCUGCUUUUGUGGGGUGCUCGAGUGGCGAACGGGUGAGUAACACGUGAGUAACCUGCCCUUGACUUUGGGAUAACUUCAGGAAACUGGGGCUAAUACCGGAUAGGAGCUCCUGCUGCAUGGUGGGGGUUGGAAAGUUUCGGCGGUUGGGGAUGGACUCGCGGCUUAUCAGCUUGUUGGUGGGGUAGUGGCUUACCAAGGCUUUGGCGGGUAGCCGGCCUGAGAGGGUGACCGGCCACAUUGGGACUGAGAUACGGCCCAGACUCCUACGGGAGGCAGCAGUGGGGAAUAUUGCACAAUGGGCGGAAGCCUGAUGCAGCAACGCCGCGUGCGGGAUGACGGCCUUCGGGUUGUAAACCGCUUACGCCUGUGACGAAGCGUGAGUGACGGUAAUGGGUAAAGAAGCACCGGCUAACUACGUG
This 468-nucleotide ribosomal RNA is filed under the name uncultured bacterium. Its description in RNAcentral is "partial 16S ribosomal RNA". It matches the Rfam family "Bacterial small subunit ribosomal RNA", at positions 28 to 507 of the family's 1533-position model. The record is from RNAcentral.